This is a non-coding RNA of Dermacentor andersoni, 1459 nucleotides long. The record is from RefSeq and is a predicted model, not a curated record. NCBI's taxonomy places the organism in Eukaryota, Metazoa, Arthropoda, Arachnida, Ixodida, Ixodidae.
GGUGCUAAAAAUUAAUUCGUAGUCCCCCCUACAACAUGCCUUCUAGUCAUGUAGCCGUUUUGGCACUUAAAAGCACAGAAUUCAAAUAAUAGUUUAUACAUGACCUUCUUUUGUUUUACUUUCUUUCUCAUUGUGGCUUGCGUCGAGUUCUCCGGACUCUAAAAGAAAAAAGUGUAACGAGAAUGUUGAGUCACCACGAAGACGACGAUAAACGAAGCAGCAGUGAUCGAGUUGUCUUUCAUUGUGGGCGCGGGUUCUCCUGUGAUCAGAUUGCUUGAAUACUCCCCGCGCAAUGAGUUUUUUUGUUUUUUUUUUUCCGUGCGGCAAUAAUUGUUCUCACGUGAACACCUACCCUUGUUUUCGUCCUUUUUAACCUAAGCUUCUGUUGCAUCUCUUUUUCCUUCCUUACGUUUGCUUUUUCUCUGACGAAGCAAUAAAACUGUGUUAUUCGCUGUCGCGUGCCGAUGUGCAGCCUCACGUGACAAGUAGAAGAAGAAGAACCUGCUAUUCUGAUGUCCACGCACAAAUUCGGGACCUCUAGCUUUCUAGCAUGGGCGACGUAGCACCGAUUCUGAACCCUGACAUGACACCGAACAGCGUGUAGCUGCUGACAUCGCCAUCAAGUACUCGCUCAUUGCAGGCUCUCUCAUGGUCCUCUUCACGGCGGCACUGCUCUCCUACAUAAUUCUCAGCGCCCUCUGGUCGCAAGCGCGGCCAGGACCUGCGACCGAAAAAGAUGACGACAGCACGCCGCCGGCGUCCUACCAUAAUUACCAGCUGCCCCGGCCGACAGCUCCAUCGCAUUCGCCCUCGACGGACGAUGUCUCGCCCACCAAAGAGUCCUCGAAAGACAGCGAGCGGACGGAGCACUCUCUUACAGGCGAAGGCGGCAGUGCAUCCACUCAGAAAGAAGAAAGUGUGUCCAACAGCUAAGGUUUGUCGGGCAGGACGCCGGUCCACAUGCGACUACCCUGUCCCGUCCGUGCUCGACCAGCCGCUGUAGUGCCCGCGAGCCGGCAUUUGAGCGGCCAGAUUGUCGACCACGCAAUCGUCAGGCCCUCUGCAAGGGUCGACAUUCGUGCCUGAUUUCCAGCUGAAGACUUUAUUCUCUCGGCUCCGACGUUCUUUUCAGCGACAGUCGGAUGUGCUCCACAUACUGUGACUGGGGCAAACAUAUUUAUAAACCUGUCGCAUAUUUGUAUAAAAUACUUUUCUGCUUCGAUUCUGUUACGAUAAGAGCUACCGAGAUUUGUACUUCGUAACGGCGUCACACCCAAACCUUAAAGGUGAAUAUAGGCGCUGUGUAUGCUAACAAGUGCAUAAAUAAAACUAGCUUUCCUUCUCUGAUGCCUUGCUCAAAAGUUGGUCGCGAACUAAUAACAUUAAAACGCAACAACGUGCUCCCCACAGAUGAUCAACGCACUUUGAAUCCGAUGGACGGUCCUCUCACGAAAAAGGU